This 65-nucleotide transfer RNA is filed under the name Amarygmini sp. ACP-2013. Its description in RNAcentral is "tRNA-Leu". It matches the Rfam family "tRNA". From Rfam's summary of the family: Transfer RNA (tRNA) molecules are approximately 80 nucleotides in length. Their secondary structure includes four short double-helical elements and three loops (D, anti-codon, and T loops). Lineage: Eukaryota; Metazoa; Arthropoda; Insecta; Coleoptera; Tenebrionidae. The record is from RNAcentral.
UUCUAAUAUGGCAGAAUAGUGCAAUGGAUUUAAACCCCAUAGAUAAAGUUUUAACUUUUUUUAGA